CCCCCUCAUGUCGAAUCUGUCGUUGGUUUUCCUCGAAUCACCAUGGAACUCGUCGAAUCUUCAAUCGAAAGUUAAGACCAAAAACCUAACUUCUCCCAAAUAACCCAAACUAAUACCCUGAAACCCCCAUGACCCCCUCUUUCCAAAUCCCUAACCCAUAUCCCUCGAAUCUCUCUCAAUCCCUUUGAAUCUUGAAUCAAAGUUCGAAGCCCUAUAAGCCAAAUCAGUCUGCCUUCGAUUCUGUGGCUUGCAUGACCACAGGUGUCCGAGUCUUCAAGAUUUUCGAGUCUAAUUUGGCAUAAUCAGUAUUGGUCGUUUGUUCUUAACAAAGAACAAGCGACUAACACUGAUUGUGUUAAAUCAGGAGUCCAGCAUUGUGGUCGAGUCUAAUCGGUAAGCUUUCCUUGUCCUUUUCUUCUAUCCACUUUUAAUUCACGUCCUACUCCUCUUCUUUUCUUCUCCUCUUUCUUGAAGUAGACUGAAAGUCGAGCAAGUUUCUGAGCUUAGGUUUUCCCCCUAGAUUAACUUUUGUGUUCGUUUUGUCGUUCAGUUUUCUGGUCGACGUCUAAAGGUCUAUUCUCUGAUUUUGUUAAUAACAUGCUUGAACCUUUGAUUUUGCUUUAGUCUCAUAAGUUAAUUUAAUUAGUCGUCUCAAUUUAAUAACCUAACUCACCAUUUGCUUGUUUAUGUAAUUAAUCAGUCGUGUAGUUAAACUUUAAUUUUCAAACAAGUGUUUACUUUCGGCUCUUGGUAAACUCAGAAUCUAGUUAGUUCUGACUGUAUUUGGGCCUGGGGUUCAUGCCUUUAGGUUCAGGCUCAUGGUUUGGGUUGGGUUUUGAGUUAAUUCAACCCAGGGUCAACUUGACCCAUACCCGUUUGGUCUAUCUGGUUAAUUAGCAGGGGUUCAGGGGUAAUUUGGGUAGUAUAGGUAGGGGAAUUUUAUGUAACAACCUUAGUAAGCUUCCAGGAAAGGGGUUUUGGGACUGGUUUUGAAAUUCUGAAAUUUGCAUUAGGGGUAUGGGAGCUAAAACAAAAAUUAGAAAAUGUUUGAAAUGCAAAUUUCAAUACUUUUAGGCUGCCCUAAUGUCUUGCCUAUAAAGGCACUUAAACUUUAUCGGCAAGGUAGAUUUAAUAAAGAGGAAGAGGCUUGAAGAGAUAGAAAAAUUCAAAAAAAUCAGAAACGGCUGAAGAAUAUUAGAAAAACUACUGUUUCAUUGAAUUUUUCUGAGGUUCUCAACUUCUGAAGUAGUGUCUGGUUCACUAGGGGUUGAAAUGGAUUGAGCUUGAUUUUCAAAAAGUUUGGUUUUGAAGUUGUUCAGUUGAAACUGGUUUAUUCUUUACUGUUUCACAUCAUUUUCUAGGUUUGAGCUGGUUUUGCUGGGACUAAUUUCUGCUUUGUUCUACUGUUGCUGGCUACUGAUUUCUUCAUUUCUUUGGUUUCUCUUUUAUGCCUAGGUAUGUAUUGACUCUUGACUAACAUAUGAAGUGCAAAUGUGAAGCCAUGUAACCAAAUUGAAGGGAAAUGGCAAAUGCUAGCUUCUAUUGUCGAAUAACUGCUCGAAUGUGUUAUAUUUUGUCCAUGUAUCCUUAGUUUAGCUUUACUAUGUAUAUUUCGUUCAUUUUAUUAAUAUUGUAUUUCGUUAUAAGGCUUGCAUUUGUGGUUUUCUUUUGAAUGAUGUUUGGAUUCAAGAAUAUUCUUAGGCUUAGGAUGAUAUGUAUGGGUUGAGGAUUAUGACUCUUUUGGUCUGAUUUUGUUGAAGUUUUGCUGAACUUUGGAGCUGGU
This 1783-nucleotide long non-coding RNA is filed under the name Nicotiana tabacum (common tobacco). RNAcentral describes it as "long non-coding RNA (NTAB_LNC010471)". The record is from RNAcentral. Lineage: Eukaryota; Viridiplantae; Streptophyta; Magnoliopsida; Solanales; Solanaceae.